UACGAACUGUGCAAACGUUAUUCGGAAUCACUGGGCUUACAGGGUGCGUAGGCGGCUUGUUAAGUAGGGUGUGAAAGCCCCCGGCUCAACCGGGGAAUUGCGCCCUAAACUGGCGAGCUGGAGUGAGAUAGGGGUGUGUGGAACUUCCGGUGGAGCGGUGAAAUGUGUUGGUAUCGGAAGGAACGCCGGUGGCGAAAGCGACACACUGGAUCUUGUCUGACGCUGAGGCACGAAAGCCAGGGGAGCGAACGGG
Molecule: ribosomal RNA, 253 nt
Filed under: uncultured bacterium
Lineage: Bacteria
Description: partial 16S ribosomal RNA
Rfam family: Bacterial small subunit ribosomal RNA
Source: RNAcentral